Prinia subflava (tawny-flanked prinia) is the source of this 5544-nucleotide long non-coding RNA. RefSeq lists it as uncharacterized. Lineage: Eukaryota; Metazoa; Chordata; Aves; Passeriformes; Cisticolidae. The record is from RefSeq and is a predicted model, not a curated record. The transcript has 9 exons.
UCUUCCAUGUUUCCUUGUGGUGGCUAGGUUUCAGCAGGAGCAGAGCUCAGAAGGUGGCAGAUUAGAAGUUCAGUGGACAGGCCAGAGGCACAGUAAUUGCCCAAUAUCACCUUCUGAAGUGUUUUUAAAGUCUGUGUUCAAACAUCAAAGAUCAAAAAUCAAAAUAGUCUACAGACUUUUGAAUUGAAAGCAACAACUCUCAGGAGUUCUUAUAUUAUAUGAAGGAUUAGCUAUCAUAUGACAUUGUCUGGAGGACCACGUGAAAAAAAGCUCAAUCCAUCUCAAGACUUCCAAAAGAAACUCAAGGAACGAUCCUGAGACUAAUUUUGAAAGAAGAGCAGGUAUCAAUGAAGACAGAUGUGAAAGAAAUUCCCAGGAAGUAUCCAAAUGAGGUGCCACAAGAGCUAUUGGAGAUAAAGAAGGUUUACCAGGAGACCUUCUUAUACAAAACAAUGCUCUUGGCAAAGGUGUUCCAGGUGCUGCAGAGCUGACUUGAGUAAUCACUUUGUGAGAAACAGUUACAUAAAUAGAAGGCAUAUAUUUGCUGCACAACCACUUCACACUUUUGACAGAACUACUCCUCUACGCCCUCUCCCCCUCACCUCCCACCUUCUCACCAAGACAUGGAAGAUGGAACAAUAUGAUGAUUUUCUUCUAUAAUAACUACUAGGUCCAACUAUGUGUGGCAAACAGGCAUUUCAGUUGACAUAGGUCAUGGUUGAUGAAAAAUUAUAGCAGACAAAGGGAAGCAACAUGUUCCAAAAAAACCAACCCUCUGGAAAUUACAGACGUGAUGAUUCUCCUCAGAUAUAUGACACAGAUGAAACCAGGAAAGGAGGAUUGCAUAAGUGUUCUGAACAUUUUGUUGCCAGAUCUAACAGUGACCUUGUGCAAUUGUCAAAGAUGGCUAAGGAACCGGUAAACACAAAAAUUAGAUAAUAGCCAUGGAAGAAAAAUAUGUCAAGAAGUAGCUUGCACCAGUGAAAAUUCUUCAUGAAGGAGAAGAUCAAACAAAAUUUUUAUCCUUGUUCGGAAAGCAAAGAGAAAGUGGUAAAGAUGAGAAUUAUAUUCAGUCAUCAUUGCCUGUCCUUUCCAACUCAGAAUAUUCUGUGACUCUCUGACUCUGUGAAGACCAAUUAAGAUCUGCUGAGUUCAGAGACCCACAAGGAUCAUUGAAGGCCAAUUCUUGGCCCUGCAUAGGACACCUGUAAGAAUCAUACCAUGUGCCUGAGAGCUUUAUCCAAACUGUCAGGCCUGCUGCUGUGACCACUUCCUUGGGAAGCCUCUCCUGAUGGAGAAGUCUGUAAUUUUGGUGUCUGGUUGUGUGCAAAUUGCUCAAGUUCUAUAUGAAGCUUUUAAUAAUUUCAGCCUUUAUAUUGUAUAUUUUUAGUCUUACCUUAGGUAAUAUCUAUCACAUAAUUGUAAUAUGAUGGAUACAACUUUGUUUAGCUGACUUCCUGCACAUAAAAGAUUUCUAAUUUAAUAGCUAAAGAUUCAAUUAUUAGCAAGAAGACAUAUGAUGCAGGAGAAACAUACCAUGUCUGGUCCUACAUCUGAGAGUAUUGAAGACCAGCAUAGAGAAAAAAGGAGACAUUUUACUAACAUACUAGGUGAAAGAGGACAAUAAAAUUAAUGGAGAUGUGCUGAAUAAUGGGGAGAAUAAAAUUCUUAUUUAUUAUAUGAAAUAACAAUUCUCUUGAAAACUUGUCCUAAAAUACUCUUUCGAUGUGUUCCCAAGUAUGAACUCUCAUUUGAUUCCCCUUAGGGCUUCAUUCACUUUGUUUUCAAAUUCAAGUGACAUCUCCUGAACAAAUAUUGAAGUUCAUCUAGUUUUCUGAAAAGACCUUUUUAUUUUCAGUCUAGUCUGGUUUUGUGCUGCUGAAUUGUAUUCUGCCUGAGAAGAACUGUAACCUCUUCACUUCAUCUUCCUCAGCCAAACAUUUCACAUGGUUUAUUCAUAAAAGACAUCAAAUAUUUUCUGCCAAAAAAAUCAAAAAAACCCCUGGAAGAUGGCUGGAAAAUGACUGAGAAAAUAUGGAACCAUAUGUCUGAAAGAGAUCUCAGGACCUUGAUUCAUAUCGUGACUCAUUCUAGCAUUAACUAUCAUCUCAUAAACAUUUGUCUAACUGUUACAGAAAUGUCUCCUGAUAGUGAUUUGAAACUUCCCUGAGCUCUGUUAAGAGUUUCUUUUUGGCAUUUACCCCAAAUCUGUAAUUUCAGGCUUGGUAUAUUUUCAGAGAUUAUACUAGGGAGGGGUCAGUGCACCUUACUUCCCUCCAUAUAGUUUUUCCCAAGGAGUUUUUACUGGCUAGUGUUGUAUACAAAAGGAACGCUCAAUUAGUUGGACCUUUUGGCUAAGUAAAAACUUUUUUAACAUCACCCCUUUCAGUCCUCUGUAGGCUUUCCUUGUCUUUCCCCUAGAUGAGACAGUUUUCAAAUUUCCCAUAGUCAGUUGUGUGGGUUUUUUUUCCCCUUGACAUCUCAUCAUUCUCAUUUCUUAUUUUAUUUAAUAUUUUGAAAGUUGGAAACUGCUUUUGAAUUGAUGAAUUUUUGUUCUCUGAUUUGCAUGUAACACAUUCUAUACUGACUGUUGAAAAUCUGUCCGUUAAAAUUUGUUAAUAAUAAUGAUACUAGUCCAAGACAAAUCUAUGUGGUCAUCACCAGAUAACUCACUCAAAUUUCAUAAUGAACAGUAAAAAUAAAUAUUUUACUAUCAAAAUACACCUUUUCAAACCAGUUUUUCAUCCAGCUCAAUGUUUUCUUAUGAAAUCAUCAUGUAAAAUAAAAAUUGAAAUUUAUCUAUGCAUAUAUAUUACCUUAUAUGUUACAUAUACUUCUUCCACUUUUCAUCAAAGAUGAUUUUUCUGCCACAGAGGAAACAAAAUUGUUUUGAUCUGGUUUGUUCUUAUCGCAAGCCAAAAUUCUAUGAGUUCUUUCAUUGCCCCUAGCCACUAGAACUUAGAUUCUGCAUACCUAUAUGAGGAGAGGCUUUUGUUCAGAAACCUAAAAACUUUCAGUAAUUACUCCAACCUAAUUUUCCCUUUUUUUUUUGUUUUUAUUUUGGUGUUUUUUGUUUGCUUUGUUCAAAUACUUACGUUUAACAGUUAGGGAAAUAGCUGAUACUACUCAUAUUUCUUUGGCUGCCUUCAUAUGAGACCUCAACAGUUUCUGACUAGAAGGUCAGUCCUUAGCUACUAUAGAUAAAGGAAAUAACUUUUUUUUUUCCCGAAUUUUCCUCUAUACAUAGGUUUCCUACCUGAAAUCUGUCUUGUUUAAUUUCUGUUUUCUGAACACUGAGGGAAUGUAGAUAUGAGCCAGACUCAGACAAAAGACAGUUAUUAAAAAACCCUUAUCUGGCAAAAACAUACCAAAAUCCUAUUUAUGCUUCAGAUCAGGUUCAAGCCUUCCAUUUUGAGCCAACUUCUUACAGAAAUGUUCUAUAUGUGACCUUCUUUUCUGACCCAAGAGCUCUGCAUAAGGCAUUUUAAAAAAUGAAUGAUUUGUCAGUAAAGAAAACGUAUUAGAUUGCAUAAAAAUACCAUUCCAAUUUAAUGUCAGAUGAAACCAGUACAGAUAUGUGUCAGCUCCUCAUAAAAUUAAAUUUAAGUAAAAGUUUGGCUGAGGUUCCAAAACAUCCUUUUAGCUUCUGUCAUUUCACAUAGGUUUUACUUUUCAAAUUCUUACAGAAAUCAGAAGUGUGGAUGCUUUAAUGACAGAAAAUAGCUUCUAACCACAUUUAACUGUUUGAAAAGCUCUUGUAGGCGAUUGUAUGUCAAAAUUAUCUCCUGGUAUUUUGAAGAAUUUGGUGUAUAGAGGGUCAAGAUGUAGCAACAUCUUAACCAUGUCAUUUUUAGCAACUUUGACCUUAACAUGUUCUACUCGACUCCUAAGGGAGAACAAGGAUCUGUCCUUGUGCAAGUUCCAGUGUUUGCUGAUGACAAAAAUAAUUCAAUAUUCUGUGCCAUUUACCUUUAAAUGUUACCUCUCACUUGGUAGAAGGCUUUUCUGGUGGUUCUAGUAAUUUUGAUGCGUUGGUUUUCAGGUUGUAACUCAAGAAAUCUUUUUGUUUGCCAGUUAUUUGGGGAAAGGAAAAAAAAAGUAAAAUCCAUUUUCAAGAUCUCAGGUUGAAGUUUAAAAUCCAUUACUCAGAAAAGCUGAAGACCUUGAAAAUGAUUUCUGUAAAAUACUCUAUUACUUCAACUAUUGCAAAAUUACUUCCUCUUAUAAAAUUCAUGGUCAAGUCUCAUGGAAUAAAAUGCUUGAAGCUAUCCAGUGACUAACAGGAAAUGCUUGCAUGGGUUAACUUAUGAAGUUUUUCAGGGUUUCCAUUAUAAUUUGCAGCUGCCUAAUUAUUGAUUUAAUUAUAGCUGACACCCUAUCUUUUAAAAACUGCAGCAGUGGAGAAAUCUGUGGCUGGAAGUGGGCAUUGACUUGCUUUCAUGGUCCUGCUCUGUGAACUAAACAGUUGUCUAACAUUUUUUUUCAUUAUUUAUUAGAAAAAUAAAAAAACACAGUGAAUCAACUCUAACUUUCACAGAUGUAUUUCCAGUUUGAAAGCUCAGAGUGUUUUGUGGUUGGGUUUAUUAGCGGGGUUUUUUUGGUAGCUGAUGUGGUGUGUCAGAUUUCAGUCUGAAGUACUCUGUAUUGCCUUCAGUUACCUUUCAUUUUCCAAAAGCAAAGUAUAAAUUUGGAAUUUUCAUCACCAUUCAUUCAUUUAAGUUUUUUCUUGGCAGCUGAUUUCCUUUUUCUUGUGCUCAGUAGUAUUGAUGUUCUGGGUCAAGGUUCACUCUCCAUAUUCAAUGUAAAUGGAUUAUAGUUUAAGCAUAAAUUGAUUUUCUAUGCCUUUUUCUUAAUCAGUUUUCACUCUAUUUUACAGUUACUGCUGUCUUUCUAAAGAUUAAUUGCACAGUAUUAAGACUGUUAUAAUUCAUUAUGCUAGAAGAUAAAAACUAGUUCAUCACUCAGUCACAUUUACUACUUUGACCAUUCUUUACCUUUGGAUUAGGAUUGUGUCAGGAAUAGUUUAUUAGGUACUUCACUUAUUCAAGUAAAAAUAAAAAAGUUCAAGACUUCAUAAUUUGCAUUAAACAUAUUGUUUUCUUUAUUUUUUUUUAAUCUUCAAAAAUUUGGUCAAAAAAUGAAAAGUUAUGCAUUGUUUAUACCAAGAUUUAUUUAUACCAUCAGAAGGGAAAGGUCGGUGUUCAGUAUCUUGAGUAUUCUCCAUGUUGUUUACUCCUUUGUCUAUGAGUUAUAGUCAAUAUGCUUGUUGGUAUAAUUAGUGUUAUAUAUUUCUUCAUUUUUCAGCACAGUGAUGUCUUCAUAAUUUUAUCCAAGAUUUAUGGAAUUUGUACAUGUUUAAUGAAUACUUGUUUCAUUUUUUUUUCAUUUUUUCUUCUUUUCUUCACUUCAGUCCACUAAUAACUGAGGUGAUCUUUCUCAAAGAAAUAAAACAAACAAGUGAAAAAAAAUUCCUCACAAUUCUUUCUGUACUCUCUGUUGGUCCUGUCUGAACUUCUUAUGCAUCACCAGUGGAAUUACACAAGA